CGAGGUAUAGCUCAGUGGUAGAGUGCACAUUUAGCAUGCACAGGGUCCUGGGUUCAAUCCCCAGUACCUCCA
Camelus ferus (Wild Bactrian camel) is the source of this 72-nucleotide transfer RNA. It matches the Rfam family "tRNA". Rfam says of the family: Transfer RNA (tRNA) molecules are approximately 80 nucleotides in length. Their secondary structure includes four short double-helical elements and three loops (D, anti-codon, and T loops). Further hydrogen bonds mediate the characteristic L-shaped molecular structure. tRNAs have two regions of fundamental functional importance: the anti-codon, which is responsible for specific mRNA codon recognition, and the 3' end, to which the tRNAs corresponding amino acid is attached (by aminoacyl-tRNA synthetases). tRNAs cope with the degeneracy of the genetic code in two manners: having more than one tRNA (with a specific anti-codon) for a particular amino acid; and 'wobble' base-pairing, i.e. permitting non-standard base-pairing at the 3rd anti-codon position. The record is from Rfam. Lineage: Eukaryota; Metazoa; Chordata; Mammalia; Artiodactyla; Camelidae.